AAAAAUUCAAAAAGAAAUAGAUAAUAACUUAAGUGCGGAAGCGAAAUAAAAUGUUAAGGUUUACAUUCUUUAUACAAUAACUUAAAAGUACUAAACAACAUUACGAAAUUCACUCUUUGAAAGAAACAUAAAAAAUAAGAAAACAAUGAAAAAUAGAAAAUAUCUAGCAUCUACUCGCAAUCUUCUUGCUAAUCAGGCUCUGGAACCUAAUCUUCUUGAUCUGAAAUGAUUAAAUAAAGGAUGAGCUACACUAUUCUAGUAAGGAUAUCACACUAUAUCACCAACAUAGAAGUAAAUUUUGGUAUAAAAUCGAAAACCACUAAUGCAGCAUUAAAUUUAGCAUAUUCAUUUAUCAAUCAUAAAAUCAUUUCUUGUUCACUUAUUAUAGUGAAAUUUAUGAAAACAACCUGUAAAAACAAUAAUACCGUACAGACCAAUAUAUCAUGCAUAAUCAGCUAUUAUAGUACAUAUUAUAAAUUCAUAUCCAUUAUCAAUAAUCCUAACAAUAACUACCACUCUUUUCACGAGCUUACUGGUAUUUAUGGGGGUUUAUAGGGAUACCUUCGUUACACGUGAACCCUUUCAGUUAUCAUUCUCAAUUAUGAGCCAUCCUCAUACCCCGUACGGUAUGAGCACCAAUUUACCAAACCUCAAUACCCCGUCCGGUAUGAGGGUAAAGUGGGUCAUCCUCAUACCCCGUCCGGUAUGAGACAACGUUCACGGUAGGGUUUUCUAUGUACCCAAUUCAUCUACUAUCUCAUAGGAUAUCCAGUAAGACAGUCGUUUCAUCUAAUAAUUUAAUCACAUAAUUCUUUUACCAUUAAAACUUCAUUUUUUUCGAUUCAGCAGUAAAUACGUAAAAUAAACCAUACAUGCAUUCAAAGCCAUAAAAUAAAUAAAUAAGAUACCAUCAUAUAGGUAAACUAUAAAAACAAUCAAUAACAACAGUAAAUAAUUUCUUGUUCCGGCUCCAUUAGCAAUCCGUAAUUAAUUAUGCAAAAAUCGCAUAAAAUAUCAUUUUAUUAUUUAUUUAAACUUCAGUCUCAUGAUAGAGAAUAGAGUGAGAGAUCCUUACUCGAUUUGACACCCGAAAAAUUAAACUGUUUACUACGCCUAAGGGCGAUCCCUGAGUUCUCUGAAUUUUUCUUUAUGAACUGAAACGCGCUAAUAGUACCUAUAAAUGUUCCAAAUAAAUCUAAAAUCAGUCUCAUGGCCCACUGGACAGGAGGUUUCCUCAUUAAUGCUAUCAAAACCCAUGACUGGAGGAGAUGGCCCUUCCAUUAAUAUUACACAAGAAAUAUAGACCAAUAUUAUACAAAUAUAUGCUAUAAUAUACCUCUAUACAUAUAGAACAAUAAUAUAAAAGAAAUAUCUUGUGGCCUUGAAAUUCUUAGGAAAGCAACAAUUUUAAUAGAAUGACACAAUAAAUAAGUUCUUCAAGAUGCAAGUUACACAUAGUGAAAGUUUAUAUUAAAAUAGUUUAAAAUACAAAUUAUGUCUUUCAAAU
This 1507-nucleotide long non-coding RNA is filed under the name Carica papaya (papaya). RNAcentral's name for it is "long non-coding RNA (CPAP_LNC016060)". The record is from RNAcentral. Lineage: Eukaryota; Viridiplantae; Streptophyta; Magnoliopsida; Brassicales; Caricaceae.